UACGGAGGGUGCGAGCGUUGUCCGGAAUCACUGGGCGUAAAGGGCGCGUAGGUGGCGACCCAAGUCGAUGGUGAAAGCUCGCCGCUCAACGGCGAGUCGGCCACUGAUACUGGGUUGCUGGAGCACUGUAGAGGCAGAUGGAAUUCCGGGUGUAGCGGUGGAAUGCGUAGAGAUCCGGAAGAACACCGGUGGCGAAGGCGGUCUGCUGGGCAGUUGCUGACACUGAGGCGCGACAGCGUGGGGAGCAAACAGG
This 253-nucleotide ribosomal RNA is filed under the name uncultured bacterium. RNAcentral's name for it is "partial 16S ribosomal RNA". It matches the Rfam family "Bacterial small subunit ribosomal RNA", at positions 524 to 776 of the family's 1533-position model. The record is from RNAcentral.